Rattus norvegicus (Norway rat) is the source of this 716-nucleotide RNA transcript. It is a transcript of the gene named defensin alpha 31, transcript variant 1, non-coding, with no coding region annotated. The record is from RefSeq and is marked validated. NCBI's taxonomy places the organism in Eukaryota, Metazoa, Chordata, Mammalia, Rodentia, Muridae.
AGCUGCUCCUGUAUCCCAAGGCCUGGAAAGAAGAGCACUGUGUCUCUUGCUCUGCUCUCCUUGCAUAUGCCAAAGGAAACCCACAGCCAUGAGGACACUCACUCUGCUCACUGCCCUUCUCCUGCUGGCCUCCACACCCAGGCAGAAUCUCCCCAAGGAAGCCCUAAGGAAGCUCCAGAUCAGGAGCAGCUGGACAUGGAGGACCAGGAUAUUUCCGUAUUCUUUGGAGGAGAUAAAGGCACUGCUCUCCAAGAUGCAGCAGGCUCGACCUGCUCUUGCAGAAUCGGAACCUGUGUUUCUGGAGAAUGGCUCUCUUGGGUGUGUCGAAUCAAUGGCCGGAUCUACCGUCUCUGUUGCCGCUGAGCACGAAGAAGAAGAAGAAGGAGGGGGAGGAGGAGGAGGAGGAGGAGGAGGAGGAGGAGGAGGAGGAGGAGGAGGAGGAGGAGGAGGAGGAGAAGGAGAAGGAGAAGGAGAAGGAGAAGGAGAAGGAGAAGGAGAAGGAGAAGGAGAAGGAGAAGGAGAAGAAGAAGAAGAAGAAGAAGAAGAAGAAGAAGAAGAAGAAGAAGAAGAAGAAGAAGAAGAAGAAGAAGAAGAAGAAGAAGAAAAGAAGAAGAAGAGAAUCCAUUUGUCAUAUUACUUGAAGGAGACUGUUACUUAUAGUAUGUUGUGUCCUAGACUUUUCUCUUUCUUUAUAUCCAAAAAAAGUCCUUAUAUCA